Molecule: transfer RNA, 75 nt
Filed under: Rhodospirillales bacterium RIFCSPLOWO2_02_FULL_58_16
Lineage: Bacteria; Pseudomonadati; Pseudomonadota; Alphaproteobacteria; Rhodospirillales
Also listed under: 4 other names
Description: tRNA-Val
Rfam family: tRNA
About the family: Transfer RNA (tRNA) molecules are approximately 80 nucleotides in length. Their secondary structure includes four short double-helical elements and three loops (D, anti-codon, and T loops).
Source: RNAcentral
GGGCGCGUAGCUCAGCGGGAGAGCACUCGCUUCACACGCGAGGGGUCGCUGGUUCAAUCCCAGCCGUGCCCACCA